This is a non-coding RNA of Molossus molossus (Pallas's mastiff bat), 1704 nucleotides long. The record is from the annotation of a RefSeq genome assembly. NCBI's taxonomy places the organism in Eukaryota, Metazoa, Chordata, Mammalia, Chiroptera, Molossidae.
AUGGGACAGGUCCUGGUGACAACGUGGCAGCACGGGGAGGUGAUGCGGCAGGUCGCAAGAGCCAUCGGGGCCAGGCCAGAGCAGGCCCUCGCGCAGGCCCAGCGGGAGGAGGCUCCCCCUCUGCAGCGCAAGCUUGAGGGAGCCGCCUUCCUGCUCCAGCUGGCGGCCGAGGCAGUCAGCACCAGGCAGCGGCUCCUGGGCUACUGUGGGCCACAUCUGGGGCUUGGGGCCCGCACGGACCAGGGACGCCGUGAGCCUCCCGCCAUGACCGCCACACUCGGGCAGGCCCUGGGCCUCCUGCCCGCCCUUCUGUUGGGACUCACAGCGGGGCAGCCCUUCAUCACGCUGGUGGGCCCGGCUCAGAGGACAGCCCCUGGGAACUCGGUGCCUUUCAACUGCACCGCUGGCGCCUUCAGGUCCCAGGACAUCAAUGUCACUUGGAUGAAGGACGGAGAUGAGCGUCCAGCCUCAGUUCAGCGCCUCGUGACUGAUGACAAAGGCAAUUACUCUGUCACCAGUAAGGUGUGGGUGACACUGGUGCGCCAAGAUGUCUCAUCAGAGAUCACCUGUAAAGUCACCCACAGGGACCUGGCAGAGCCCCUGCACAAGACCAUGAACCUCUCCCAAGUGCUACGAGUUGUCCCCACUGUGAAGAUCAGCAACCAGCGCUCGGAGGCAUCUGUCUCCCAUCAGAGAGUGAAUCUCACUUGCCAAGCGAGCCACUUCUACCCCUCCCACCUGCAUCUCACCUGGAUGGAGAACAGGCACACGGUCCAGACCGUGCUGUCCCCCCAGGUCACGAGAAACUCAGACGGGACCUACUCCCUGGAGCACACGUGGCAGGCAGAGGCCACGCUGCAGGGGAGCGAGUUUGCCUGCUGGGUGGUCCAGGACGAUCAGCCCCCAGUCCAGGCCAACAUCACCCUGCGGGCUCGGCCACCCAGGACGGAUAAAGACAAGAGGAGCGGCGGCUCCUCUUACAUCUUGCAAGGCCCGCUUCAGCGAUCUGAGCCGGGCACAAGCAUCCGACUGACGUUCAUGUCCUCCGGAUUCCCCACACAGCAGGUCAUGGUGACCUGGCUUAAAAACAGCCUCAAGCUGCCAAACCCCCAGACCAGCGCCCACCUGGGUGGAGACACUUACAAUGUGACCAGCAGCGUGCUCGUCACCCUGCAGGCUGACGACAUGCUCUCCCACGUGCUCUGCCUCGUCCACUACAAGUCGAAACUGAUUUGGCAGCAAGCAAUCACCCUGGACCAGUACCUCCGUGUUUCUCCUGCAGUGACAGUAUCCCAGGCUUCACACUUCUCAGACUUGGUGGCCAUUACUUGCCACGUGCAGAGAUUCUAUCCACAAAGUGUAAACCUCACCUGGCUGGAGAACUGCAACAGGUUCAAGGGAGCUGAGCAUUCCUCGCUCAAACAGAACAGCGACGGGACCUACUUCCUGGAAAGCUUGCAGUGGGUGAACGUGUCAAUGCAAGGAUCUGAGCGGGUGCUCACCUGUAUGGUACAGCAUGACACACAGCCUCCCAUCCGGGCCAGCCACAUACUGUUCCCAGCAGCCCACACCACGUACAAGCCCACUGAAAGCCCAGGUCCAGGGAUGUCUGCCAUCAUUUUUGUGGCUCUCCUCCUGGGCCUCAAGGUGCUGCUGCUGACGGGUUUCACAGUCACCCACAUCUGCAGGUGGUGUGACCUGUAA